UAAAGUUUUUUGUCGUAAAUAGGAAUUAUUUUCAAGAGAAGUUUGUUUUGUUUUCGUGCGCGUAGGAGACGAGACGUACGAAUUAAAUCAGUCGAGGGAAGGAUAAACGUUAGAAAGGAAUUAAAGAGAAAACGAGAGUUUAUGUAAAAGAGAGUUAUAGAAUUUAUAGUGAUGUUUUGUUUUAAUUAGAAAAAUGUUGAGAGUUGUUUCAGAACGACACGUCAGUGGACGUGGCAGAGUGAACACGUGACGGGGAGGUGCUGAGACCUAGCGGAGAACGGAGGAACCGCAAGCGAGGGUUGGCGCACCUGAUGGAAUUCGGUGACGUCACGGGCUCAUACGGAGACGUGGACAGGCCGUGACCUUGUUUUGAUCAGCUGUACGGUAACUUAACGAUAAGAAAAUAGACUAUUGGUUAAAUAAAUUUAAAUUUAAGUGUGUUUUAGGAGAAGAGGAACUUUCAGUAUAUUCCUUAAGAUGAGCUGAGCAGCAGUCCAGUUUACAAGAUGACAAGAGUUCGAGAGACAAGAUACAAGAUCACUGAAACAAGAGCCAAGACUGAAGAUUCAAGAGAAGAGAAAGCUGGCAGCCAUGGACUUACAAGUGGAGAUUAAUAAGGUCAUGUAAAGUUUUAUUUUUUUUUAUGGAAGACAGUAACUGGAGUUUUUUUUUGUUAUAAACAUUAUUUACAGAACUUUUUAGGUUAUAGUAAUGUAAUGGAACUAGUGAGUUGUGGUAGCUGUCAAAAAGAACUAAUACCUUAAGUUUAAUUUUUAAAGUUAAUUUUCUUAAUUUACAGAGGGAUUAGUAGUUUUUUUUAAACCUUAUUUAGGUUGGAAUUUAAAUACAAUAGCUUAUUAUAAAUGUGUACGAACAGUUCAAGUUCACAGUACUGAUAGGUAGGUCAGAUGAUCUUAUUGAUUUUGAUGAUUUGUUGUUUUGAGUUGAUUUUUAAGUGUUGUGAAUUAGACAAUGAAAUAGUUCUGAAAACUUAAAUUAUUUCAAGCUAAGAAAUAGUAAAUUUAAUUGUAACUCGAAGGACACCAGAAUGUAAAUUUGUUUUGAAUUAGUAAUGUUUGAAAAUUUUAUACUUUACAAGAAAGGUUAUAAACAAACAGAUCGGAUGGAACAAGGAUGCAGUAAAUCACAAUUUCAUUUAGAAUUAUUGAUUAGCUUUUGAGGUUAUGAAGUAAAAGUAAUUAUAGUUUAAAAGUUUGAAUAAAAAAAAAAUGUUUUUUUUUUUUAUUUGUUUGAAAUAGAAAGUUUAAAAGUUAAUUAGUCAUGAUCUAGGUGGGUGAUGGGGUGGGAAUUGGCCACUCUUUUUCCCUAUAACCUCCCUAACAUGGCCUUCUAUUACAUCUAACAGAAAAAAAAAAAAGAAGAAAAAGAAGACUUAUUAUUAGUUAGAAUGUUUUUUUAUGAAGAUACCUGAUGAACUUUUACUGUUUGGAAGAAUAGAAGCAAGGUUAGUCAGAUAUUUUUACUCAGAAGAAGAAGAAGAUAAAGCAGUUUUAUGACUCGACAAGCCAGAGAUUGGUGUUUCCCCUCUGCGCUUCUAUUGACUACGUUGUUUACUCUCAUGGGAUAGCUGGUUCGGCACCAUGGAGAGAGAUUGGUGGGCAUUGUGGUUGCCCCCAGAAGAAAAGAAGAGUAGAAGAGGUUAUGGGUGGGUCAUGUGAACUGACCUUCAACCCAGUUACUUCGUGGGGACUAUUUGCUGUAUAGAGAAGAUCAAGACUCAAGAGGUAGGGAAAAUCAUUGGAGGUCAUGUUUCCCUUCCUUAAGUUUUUCCUAUCAAAUUAUUUGCCUGAUUAGAUUAUGCUAAGGGUGGGAUACUUUAUGUUAGCAGUUGAAUUAAUUAAUUUUAUUUUUUUGUGUGUUUGCAUCCUUGCCCAUCGAUUGCAGUUUAGUAGUUAGUUUUGUAUUUGUCAGGCGUGAUGGUAAUGCCUGUUGAUGAUGUUUCAGAAUUGUAAUCUGUUCGUGAUGAGGAUGGCACAACUCCGAAGCAGAUGUGGGGAGAAGUUGUGAGCUGCCCUGGAAGCCAGUCCAGUAGCUGUUGGAGUUGAGUGGUGUUUGCUGAUGGCCAGCCCAGGGAGCUACUCUUCUCGACAACACUGACUUCGAGGAGUUGCACCAACCUUCACGAGAUAAGAGUUUAAUUAAUUGAAACACUGUAAGGACACUUAAUUUUUUUUGAAGAACGAAAGAAGUAUGGUAAUAAACGGAAACCGAAAAAAAAAAA
Bacillus rossius redtenbacheri is the source of this 2242-nucleotide long non-coding RNA. RefSeq lists it as uncharacterized. The transcript is spliced from 2 exons. Lineage: Eukaryota; Metazoa; Arthropoda; Insecta; Phasmatodea; Bacillidae. The record is from RefSeq and is a predicted model, not a curated record.